GACGAACGCUGGCGGCACGCUUAACACAUGCAAGUCGAACGAGAGAAGAGGAGCUUGCUUUUCUGAUCUAGUGGCGGACGGGUGAGUAACACGUGAGCAAUCUGCCUUUCAGAGGGGAAUACCGAUUGGAAACGAUCGUUAAUACCGCAUAACAUAAUUGAACCGCAUGAUUUGAUUAUCAAAGAUUUAUCGCUGAAAGAUGAGCUCGCGUCUGAUUAGCUAGUUGGUAAGGUAACGGCUUACCAAGGCGACGAUCAGUAGCCGGACUGAGAGGUUGAUCGGCCACAUUGGGACUGAGACACGGCCCAGACUCCUACGGGAGGCAGCAGUGGGGAAUAUUGCACAAUGGAGGAAACUCUGAUGCAGCGAUGCCGCGUGAGGGAAGAAGGUUUUAGGAUUGUAAACCUCUGUCUUCAGGGACGAAAAAAGACGGUACCUGAGGAGGAAGCUCCGGCUAACUACGUGCCAGCAGCCGCCGUAA
Molecule: ribosomal RNA, 481 nt
Filed under: uncultured bacterium
Lineage: Bacteria
Description: partial 16S ribosomal RNA
Rfam family: Bacterial small subunit ribosomal RNA
Source: RNAcentral